RNAcentral lists this ribosomal RNA (790 nucleotides) under uncultured bacterium. RNAcentral describes it as "bacterial SSU rRNA". It matches the Rfam family "Bacterial small subunit ribosomal RNA", at positions 8 to 796 of the family's 1533-position model. The record is from RNAcentral.
AGAGUUUGAUCAUGGCUCAGAUUGAACGCUGGCGGCAUGCCUUACACAUGCAAGUCGAACGCGAAAGGGGGCAACCCCGAGUAGAGUGGCGAACGGGUGAGCAAUACAUCGGAACGUGUCCUGUAGCGGGGGACAACACAUCGAAAGAUGUGCUAAUACCGCAUACGAUCUACGGAUGAAAGUGGGGGACCGCAAGGCCCCACACUAUAGGAGCGGCCGAUGCCGGAUUAGCUUGUUGGCGGGGUAAAAGCCCACCAAGGCGACGAUCCGUAGCUGGUUUGAGAGAACGACCAGCCACACUGGGACUGAGACACGGCCCAGACUCCUACGGGAGGCAGCAGUGGGGAAUUUUGGACAAUGGGCGCAAGCCUGAUCCAGCCAUGCCGCGUGAGUGAAGAAGGCCUUCGGGUUGUAAAGCUCUUUCGGCCGGGACGAAAUGGCGCGGGGUAAUAUCCCGCGUCGAUGACGGUACCGGAAGAAGAAGGACCGGCUAACUACGUGCCAGCAGCCGCGGUAAUACGUAGGGUCCAAGCGUUAAUCGGAAUUACUGGGCGUAAAGCGUGUGCAGGCGGUUUCGAAAGUCCGAUGUGAAAUCCCCGGGCUUAACCUGGGAACUGCGUUGGAAACUACGAGGCUAGAGUGCGGCAGAGGGGGGUGGAAUUCCAGGUGUAGCAGUGAAAUGCGUAGAGAUCUGGAGGAACACCGAUGGCGAAGGCAGCCCCCUGGGUUAGCACUGACGCUCAUACACGAAAGCGUGGGGAGCAAACAGGAUUAGAUACCCUAGUAGUCC